GGGCCCGUAGCUCAGUUGGGAGAGCGCCUGCUUCGCAUGUAGGAGGUCGACAGUUCGAAUCUGUUCGGGUCCA
RNAcentral lists this transfer RNA (73 nucleotides) under Lactobacillus sp. RNAcentral describes it as "tRNA-Ala". It matches the Rfam family "tRNA". From Rfam's summary of the family: Transfer RNA (tRNA) molecules are approximately 80 nucleotides in length. Their secondary structure includes four short double-helical elements and three loops (D, anti-codon, and T loops). Further hydrogen bonds mediate the characteristic L-shaped molecular structure. tRNAs have two regions of fundamental functional importance: the anti-codon, which is responsible for specific mRNA codon recognition, and the 3' end, to which the tRNAs corresponding amino acid is attached (by aminoacyl-tRNA synthetases). tRNAs cope with the degeneracy of the genetic code in two manners: having more than one tRNA (with a specific anti-codon) for a particular amino acid; and 'wobble' base-pairing, i.e. permitting non-standard base-pairing at the 3rd anti-codon position. Lineage: Bacteria; Bacillati; Bacillota; Bacilli; Lactobacillales; Lactobacillaceae. RNAcentral also lists the same sequence under 6 other names. The record is from RNAcentral.